GACGAACGCUGGCGGCGUGCCUAAUACAUGCAAGUAGAACGCUGAAGGAGGAGCUUGCUUCUCUGGAUGAGUUGCGAACGGGUGAGUAACGCGUAGGUAACCUGCCUGGUAGCGGGGGAUAACUAUUGGAAACGAUAGCUAAUACCGCAUAAUAGCAGUUAUUGCAUGAUAACUGUUUGAAAGGUGCAAUUGCACCACUACCAGAUGGACCUGCGUUGUAUUAGCUAGUUGGUGGGGUAACGGCUCACCAAGGCGACGAUACAUAGCCGACCUGAGAGGGUGAGCGGCCAGACUGGGACGGUGACACGGCCCAGACUCCUUCGGGAGGCAGCAGGAGGGAAUCUUGGGCAAUGGACGGAAGUCUGACCGAGCAACGCCGCGUGAGUGAAGAAGGUUUUCGGAUCGGAAAGCUCGGUUGUAAGAGAAGAACGAGUGUGAGAGUGGAAAGUUCACACUGUGACGGUAUCUGACCAGAAAGGGACGGCUAACUACGUG
This 495-nucleotide ribosomal RNA is filed under the name uncultured bacterium. Its description in RNAcentral is "partial 16S ribosomal RNA". It matches the Rfam family "Bacterial small subunit ribosomal RNA", at positions 28 to 507 of the family's 1533-position model. The record is from RNAcentral.